AUGGGUAAAGGAUCCAGCAAACCAGAACCAAAAGAGUCCUUAAAAUGUAAAGAUUGGAAAUACGUUGAACAAAUUAACAAAGCCUACGUUGAACCAUUAAAUAAAUGGAUAGUAAAGUACGAGUUCGAAGGGCAAUUAAGGGUAAGAAGCUUGGUAGAGUUACAGGGGGCCAUUAAGUUAAAAUGUAAAAAUAAAGAAAAAGAGAUGAAGAAAGAAGGUGUUGACGAGUUAAUGCAAUGGAUAAAGAUAGCGGGGAAACGAGAAGAAGGAGAGAGAAGGGAUAGACAGGCCAGGGAAGCUACAGCGAGAGCGAAGAGCGAGGGGGAGGAGGUACCCAUUGUUAAAAAAACUGAAGGCGCCGUCCUGUUUCAUCGUAAGGAGGACGACGAGUCUGUAACCAGAGGGAGCCGUAGGGGAGGGGUGAGCGCAGCUCAGGAGAGAGGAGCAGAAGGGGAGGGGGCGAUGGAAUCAACGCCACAGCCUCUCACAUUACCACCACCUCCUACGAACUUACUGUAUCCUGAGAUACCUAAAUUUGAAGAAGAAAACCCCCCUGCUUAUAAACCUGGCGCCUACUCCCCAACACCGCAUACUCGAUCUCGAGGGGAAGUAAGACCCUGGUCUAAAACCUUGGGCAAAGUUUGGGACAGUCCCCCCAAAAUGCCAUAUUUACAAGAGGGGGAUCAAUAUCCCCUUAUAGAAGUGGCCAACCCUAAUCCAAGUGACGAUGAGCAGUCUCGUACCAUCCUAGUAUAUCGGACCUGGACUCAGAAAGAUAUAAAAAAGGUGGUAGAAGGCGUGACUCCUUAUAAAGAGGAUAUAGAAAAGUUUAAGGGAGACAUGGAGGCGAUUCGAAGGUCUUACCAUUUGAACGGUGUUGAAGUGCAACAAAUAUAUAUGCAAGCAAUGGGGCAGGACUGGCACCAUGUAGAGGGUAACUGGUCACCAUUAGCAACGAACGGUGAACCCCUGGGUCAGGAGGAGGAAGAGUUAACAGACAGAACGUUAGCUUUGUUAAAUAGGAUUCGGGAAAAGUAUAGGAAGAGAGCAAACUAUAGUGAAAUUGGGAGAGUGAAGCAGGAGGAGGAUGAGAAGUUUGAGGAUUAUAAAGUUAGAAUGGAGAAGGUCUUCAAACAGCAUAGUGGUCUUGUGGAUGAAGGUGGGCCUGAAGGAGUGUAUCGUCAACAACUUAAAAAUGCCUUGCAUAGUGGGUCAAAAGACGGGGUGCGUAAUUGGGUAGACAAACAUAUGAUAGGGCUGCCCACUAAGACAUUGGAAGAGUACCUAGACCACGCCGCACACAUAGAUAAAUUAAUCAGAACCAAGAAAGCAGUAGAUAAAUCCACAAAAAAGAAAACUGACACCUUUUGGGGAGAUGUCGGGGGGAGUGAAGACGCAUUUUAUCAAGAAGGCAGAGGCAGAAUGAGACAGAGAGGACGCUUCCAGAGAGACAGAGCAGGGAGAGGCGGGGGCGUCCAGAGUCGAGGGUGGAGACCACGUAGCCGAUUGGGAGCAGGCUGCUGGUCCUGCGGGAAGUCUGGGCAUCUUGCCAGGGAUUGUCCAACAGGGCCAGGAGCCAAUUCAGCAUGA
This is a long non-coding RNA of Denticeps clupeoides (denticle herring), 1590 nucleotides long. The record is from Ensembl. Lineage: Eukaryota; Metazoa; Chordata; Actinopteri; Clupeiformes; Denticipitidae.